UUGGAGGGCAAGUCUGGUGCCAGCAGCCGCGGUAAUUCCAGCUCCAAUAGCGUAUAUUAAAGUUGUUGCAGUUAAAAAGCUCGUAGUUGAAUUUCGGAGUUUGUCGGUUGGUCGGGCUUCACUGUCCGCACUGACCUGAUGGAUUCCUACCUUCUGAAUAACCAGCAUGCUAUUAAGUUAGUGCGUUGGGGAGGCAGAGCUAUUACCUUGAAAAAAUUAGAGUGCUUAAAGCAGGCUUAUGCUUGAAUAGAUUAGCAUGGAAUAAUAAAAUAGGACGGCAUGGUUCUAUUUUGUUGGUUUCUAGGAUCACCGUAAUGAUUAAUAGGGAUAGUUGGGGGCAUUAGUAUUCAAUUGUCAGAGGUGAAAUUCUUGGAUUUAUUGAAGACUAACUUCUGCGAAAGCAUUUGCCAAGGAUGUUUUCAUUAAUCAAGAACGAAAGUUAGGGGAUCGAAGACGAUCAGAUACCGUCGUAGUCUUAACCAUAAACUAUGCCGACUAGGGAUCGGACGAUGUUAAUUUUUUAAUGACUCGUUCGGCGCCUUACGGGAAAC
This 551-nucleotide ribosomal RNA is filed under the name uncultured Glomeromycotina. Its description in RNAcentral is "SSU rRNA". It matches the Rfam family "Eukaryotic small subunit ribosomal RNA", at positions 548 to 1098 of the family's 1831-position model. The record is from RNAcentral. Lineage: Eukaryota; Fungi; Glomeromycota.